AACUUUCUAAUUCAAAGAGUCAACACUGCUAAUCAUCUUAAAAUAGUUGUGAUCACCAUAUUUCUACUGUGUAUUGUGAUUUAAGCCAUCAAAAUUUCUUUAGAUGCACUAAAUGGCUUUUGAUCAAAAUAUACUAUUGUGUAUUGAAAAGAUUCAAAAUUUAAACUCUAAGUAAUUUCAAGAUAAACUUCUAACUCUUGUCCCCAAUAUGCAUCAAAC
RNAcentral lists this long non-coding RNA (219 nucleotides) under Elaeis guineensis (African oil palm). RNAcentral describes it as "long non-coding RNA (EGUI_LNC041684)". Lineage: Eukaryota; Viridiplantae; Streptophyta; Magnoliopsida; Arecales; Arecaceae. The record is from RNAcentral.